AACGCGAAGAACCUUACCAGGAUUCGACAUGCCCUCUAUGGAAAUCCGAAAAGAUUUCCUUCACUUCGGGUGGGAGGAGCACAGGUGCUGCAUGGCUGUCGUCAGCUCGUGUCGUGAGAUGUUGGGUUAAGUCCCGCAACGAGCGCAACCCUCGUCCUCUGUUGCUAACAGGUUAGGCUGAGCACUCUGAGGAAACUGCCGGUGAUAAGCCGGAGGAAGGUGGGGAUGACGUCAAGUCCUCAUGGCCCUUACAUCCUGGGCUACACACGUGUUACAAUGGUGGUGACAAUGGGUCGCGAUCCCGCAAGGGCUAGCUAAUCCCCAAAAGCCACCUCAGUUCGGAUUGUACUCUGCAACUCGAGUACAUGAAGCUGGAAUCGCUAGUAAUCGUGGAUCAGCACGCCACGGUGAAUACGUUCCCGGGCCUUGUCACACCGGUACUA
RNAcentral lists this ribosomal RNA (443 nucleotides) under uncultured bacterium. RNAcentral describes it as "bacterial SSU rRNA". It matches the Rfam family "Bacterial small subunit ribosomal RNA", at positions 958 to 1398 of the family's 1533-position model. The record is from RNAcentral.